This is a non-coding RNA of Podarcis lilfordi (Lilford's wall lizard), 76 nucleotides long. NCBI's taxonomy places the organism in Eukaryota, Metazoa, Chordata, Lepidosauria, Squamata, Lacertidae. The record is from the annotation of a GenBank genome assembly.
GGGGAGCACCCUAGGUCAGUGGCAAAGCAUUUGCCUUGAGUGCAGAAGGUGACAAGUUCAAUCCCUGUAGUCUCCA